This 85-nucleotide transfer RNA is filed under the name Lentinula boryana. Its description in RNAcentral is "tRNA-Glu". It matches the Rfam family "tRNA". Rfam says of the family: Transfer RNA (tRNA) molecules are approximately 80 nucleotides in length. The record is from RNAcentral. Lineage: Eukaryota; Fungi; Basidiomycota; Agaricomycetes; Agaricales; Omphalotaceae.
UCCGAUAUGGUGUAGUGGCUAACAUUAUCGCCUCUCAUGAGGUUCAUAUGCGCGAUAGCCCGGGGUUCGAUUCCCCGUGUCGGAA